CUUCAGUGCUUUCUGAUCUGCUGAGUCCGCUCCAGUCUUCAACGCGUUCUCGUCCUUGUUGCUUUGCUCGAUUUGGUUCUCAAGGGACAUUUUCUCCUCUUGGUAUCCUCCCAGCACGUCGUGCGUCACCCGCAGUUUAAUACGCUCGAUCCUGUUCUGUUUGUCCACUUGGUCGUGCUCCCUUUUGCGAGUUUUGAUGACCACCACCAACAUGACGGUCAAGGCGAUGGUGAGAGGCAGCAACAGUUGCACCUUCAUCGUCUCACCUGGCGUCUCGUGUGCGACACACUGCUCUAAACGGACGGCAUAGCACGGCUUAGUUGGCGUCCGUGUGUGCUUCCGGAUCAACACUUACAAGGAGUCCGCUUGUCCUCUUGUCCAAGUCAUGGAUUUAAACCAAAUACUCACGAUGAAGUCGUGGAAUCAGCGCUCGUUCACGGUCAACUCCAGGUGUGUCCUAAACACGCCCACGUGUCUCUACAUAGGAAGUGCACGGCUCGACACAAACAGCGAUUGUGUCGAUACAGGCGCGACAGGCGUAUACUUGUCUGACAGGAAUAUUAUGUAUAACGGACAUACCCUUUUUCCAACGACGGCAACUUACUGGAAAACGAAAGGAUGCUAACAAGUUAUAUAUAUUUCAAGAAAAACCUGCAUUUUUGCUUUGUGAUAUUGAUGAAACAAACAUAUUACACAGCAAAUUGAGGAGUGUUAAUUUUUUGGUGUUGAUGAGAAUCUUGAAGUUGGAGUGUCAAUCUUACACUAUUUGGAGUUGAUCUAACACUGCAUUUUCUUAAAAAUGUUAAAUUUAACACUGGAUCAUGAAAGUGUUGUAGUUAAAAUGGAGUGUUGAAAAUGUUUAAAUCUUGUUAGUGUCAAAAUAAAGACAUUCAACACUUCCACACUCCAUUUAACACCUAACAGUGUUCACGUGCCCACGGACAUUUCAUUUAGACUCCACCCCUCACUUCACGUUGCUGAUGGAAGAAGUUGACAAUUAGGAAUCAUUUUGCAUCAGUAGUGUUGCUGUGAGCUGAAUCGGCACUGCCUGGGCAACAUUUGUCAAAGUAAGUGAACGCUACGUUAUAUCUUCAUUUUUAAUGAGCUAAUGGCUACCUAGCUAAUUGGCACGAGGAGCCCCCACACGUAGGCCUGCUGGCCCCCAGCAAAGGACUUGAUAUGCUGUACAAGAUACAAGAUAUCAAGGUUGGCAACUCUAAUUGUUACUUUAACUUAAAAAUAAUUGUCAGGCGUGUGUUGGAAGUGAACUACACAAAUUUUUUUUUAGAAUGAUGCAUCUUUAUUUUUCUUCUUGAUUCACAGCAAACCUUUCCUUGAGACUUACAUGAAUGUGAGGUGGAUGGAGAUGUGUAGACUCCACUAUCCCUUCACCCCAGUUAUCGCCAGUUGGUGGCGAGUCUCCACUCUUGCCGACUACAUCCCAUUCAUCAGGUUCGACAAUUUAUCCUUCAGCCCACAAGAGGAACCCAACAGAACCAAUGGAUCAGGAUGAAGCAUGACGGAAAGUCGGUGGUGUUUUGAGGGCCAAUCCGAAAGGUGAGGAAAUCUUCAAGGAGUGCACCAAGACUGAAACACUAACCGAUGCAAGGUGUAAACAGAUGGUGAACAUCCUGGCUGCAGAUAUGAUGGAGCUGCAUGGGAGGGUUCCGCCAUCAUGUGUGAUGAGAAAUUACGCCCUGAGAAUUGUGACUUGUUUUCCAUACCUAAAAGAUCCAUUCUCCAAACCUGGAUAUGAUGCUUAGCUUAGCGGCAGUGGCUCAAGAGGUAGAGCAGGUCGUCCAGAAAUCGUAAGGUUGGUUGAUCUUGCUCCCUCCACCCAGUCACUGUUGUGUCCUACACUUCUCCUGGCUCUCAAAGCCGUUCCAAGACUGUUUCUUCAUGAUGGUCCAAAAACCAGAGGAGAAUAUCUGUUAACUGGUCAACAGCUGUUUGGUGAGGAGUGCAGGGAGGCACUAUCUACAAUAAGACAUUCAACUGAUGAAUCCGUGGUCAAAGAAGAUGAGAGCAACUUUCCAGUAUCGACGGAAUAUGAUCCAAGCACAAGAUGUAUCAUCGUCUGUUCUCAAUGUGUUCCCUCGCUUCCUUGAUGUUCCUGGAUUGAUUGACCAGGAUUUCUCAAUGAUGUUUGGUGAUGAAGUAUCUCAGAGGUUCCUGGCUAAGUGGUCAACUGUCUUCAAACCAAAAGUCAUUGCAGACUUCAAGACUCUCCCGCAAAAGCAGAACAUUGAUGAGUUGCUGUCAGGAACUGAACCUCAACCUGAUGACAGCUGUGGGUGAGAAGUUACGGUAUAGAGUACCAUGUUGGUGUGUUCAAAUGUACUGGAUGUAGCUUUGAUCUACCUGUGUUCAAGAAGAUCUGUGCUAUAAUAAAACACAAAGAAUGUGCUUUCAUAAUAGCCUGUAAUGUAGAAACGAUGUACUAUGAGGACCUGUUUAAGGCGUACUGCAUAGAAGACCAAAUGCUUGAGUUUUCUGUCAUGUGUUUAAAUGAACUGACUCAUUUCAAACCAUUUGACAAGCAGUGCUCUAAUGACAGUUGUCAAAGAGCAAACAUACUGUAGUGCCCUGCUGUUAUUUAAGCUACUGUCUGUUGGAAAUGAAAUGCUUUUGAAUAAAAUGUA
Dunckerocampus dactyliophorus (ringed pipefish) is the source of this 2642-nucleotide long non-coding RNA. RefSeq lists it as uncharacterized. The transcript has 7 exons. The record is from RefSeq and is a predicted model, not a curated record. NCBI's taxonomy places the organism in Eukaryota, Metazoa, Chordata, Actinopteri, Syngnathiformes, Syngnathidae.